Long non-coding RNA from Pogona vitticeps (central bearded dragon), 2032 nucleotides. Ensembl annotates it as ly6/PLAUR domain-containing protein 2-like. NCBI's taxonomy places the organism in Eukaryota, Metazoa, Chordata, Lepidosauria, Squamata, Agamidae. The record is from Ensembl.
GACUCCCAGACCUUGGAAAAGCUUUUUGCUUGGACUACAACUCCCACAAUCCCCCUGCCAGCAUAUGUGUUGGACUACAACUCCCAGAAGCACUUGUAACAGCCUCAGACCUUGGAAAAGCUUGCUCGGACUGCAGUUCCCACAAUCCCCCCGCCAGCAUGCUGACUGGGGAAUUUUGGGAGUUGUAGUCCAAGCAAGAAGCUUUUCCAAGGUCUGUGGCUGUUACGAGUGAUCCGUUGCGUCCCCCUUGUUGAAUCUCUCCAUGGAGUCAGUUCCUUGAUGAGCAGCGCUCUUUUUAACAGCUGGCCUCUCCUUGUUCCCAAAGCCCCAACCACGACGGGGACCGCUGAGGUGUGUUUCUUCCAGAGGCCAGAUGUUUCAACGGCCAGGACUUUGUACUUUUGUUAGUUUUUCUGACGACCAGAUGUUUCAACCGCCAGGACUUUGUACUUUUGUUAGUUUUUCCAAUUCUUUAUUUUCAGCUGGAAUUGCAAUGUCAAUGAUCCAGACAUUUCUUCGUUCUGUUGCUCCUAUGUCUGGUGUGUGAUGUUCAAGGUGUCUUAUCUGUCUGGAUCCAGAAAUCCCACAAGAUCUCGUCUUCCUCAUUUUCUGACUCCUUUUCUACCUGAUCUUCCCGCGGGUUUUUGGAGGCUGGCAAGUUUUAUUUUUUUGCAUCAUGAGCUCAUUUUGCUGCUCUGUCAUGCCUAAUUUUGUAAUCUGAUUGUGCCAUCUUUGGACAUCAUCAUCAUCAUCAUCAACAGUAGUAGCAGUAGUAUUGGAAAUAAAGCUGAUGUAACUAUGUAAGUGCACUAGGCAGUGGGGUUUAGACAAACGAAUUGUUUUGGACUGGCCGGGUGAUUCUGGGAAUAUUUGUUUCGACGUCUCUGCUGUCACGAGUGCUUACUCCUUUGUUUUGUUUUGUUUAAAAAAGGACAACCAAGUUCUCUUUUCUUUCCCCUGCUCUGCAGUUCAUUCCCUGGACUGUUACAGGUGCAAUGUCACGACGUACAGUGGGUGCACCUACGUCGUAAACUGCUCUGAAACACAGAAGUUCUGUACAAGAUACACCUCUACUACCACAUCUGGCUUUGUGCUCCAGCAAGGCUGCGCGGAGCGUUGCCCCAUUGUCAGAGGUACUUGGCCGAAGCUAUACACUUUUACCUGCUGCCAGGAGAGUAGGUGCAACGGAGUAGCGGGCAUCGGAAGAUACAGUUCUGCACUAAUCAUGAUCACUGUCCUGAGAGCUCUCUCCUAGAACUGUGUUCCAGUGGCAAGAAAGCACAGUCUCUGCCGAGCCAGGAAGGCGUGGGGGUUUCCAUUUCGCCAACUUCUCACCACUGUGGCUGAGAGAAUCCUGACUCUUGCCAACAAAACGACUCUCGUUUUCCGUUCCUGGGACGCCUUCCGAAUAUUUCCUCCGUAGACGGAACGCGGUAGGAAUGGACGUCCACCGGGGAGUGGUGUAUGCAGACUGCUUUGCAACAGGAGAGUCUCGGAGGCUUUGGUAGAAUCAGGCGACCCAACAGCGAAGAAACCUGAUCACCGUCUGCCUAACGACCUCAAGGUUGGCUCAAGAGGAUACCAAAUAUACAGCUGAGACCUAAUGGUCCAAGGCGGAUGGGAAGACAAUGGCCAGAUGUACGUCUUUCUCCGUAGCAUAAAUCUUUUGGCUUGACCCAUGUCUCCUUCUGUAGAUCGACACGUGUGGUAGUGCCAGAAAAAGAUGGGAGGAGAACAGCAUCCAGUAUUUUCUCCACUGCCAAGGGAGAAAAAAAUGUCAGUCUACUGAGGCAGACAGGCUGGCUUAAGGAAGGGUGAGUUCAACCUAGAACUUCAGUGGAACUCUUUUCAUGAAAGAAAUGCCGUGGGAAGAACUAAGGGUGGGUUUCUUCCAAUAUUUAGAAGGCCCCACGCAAAGAAACAGACUGAUUUUUUUUGUAUGAGAUUAUAAAGAAGAAAGCAGAAUAGAUCUCUUGCCUAUUAUAUAUACGAACGAUAUGAGUAAUAAAUAACAGCAACCGUAAUAAAAACA